AGGUGAGUAGUUUAAGAAAAACAUUUGAUUUCGGCUCAAAAACUCGUGGUUAAAGUCCAUAUUCAUCUA
This 69-nucleotide transfer RNA is filed under the name Johnius trewavasae. RNAcentral's name for it is "tRNA-Arg". It matches the Rfam family "tRNA". Rfam says of the family: Transfer RNA (tRNA) molecules are approximately 80 nucleotides in length. The record is from RNAcentral. Lineage: Eukaryota; Metazoa; Chordata; Actinopteri; Sciaenidae.